AACGAACGCUGGCGGCAUGCCUAACACAUGCAAGUCGAACGAGACCUUCGGGUCUAGUUGCGCACGGGUUCGUAACGCGUGGUAACCUGCCCUUAGGUUCGGAAUAACUCCCCGAAAGGGGUGCUAAUACCGGUUAAUGUCUUCGGACCAAAGAUUUAUCGCCUUUGGAUGGGCCCGCGUUGGAUUAGCUAGUUGGUAGGGUAAAAGCCUACCAAGGCGACGAUGCAUAGCUGGUCUGAGAGGAUGAUAAGCCACACUGGGACUGAGACACGGCCCAGACUCGUACGGGAGGCAGCAGUGGGGAAUAGAGGAAAAUGGGGGAAAGGAUGAAAAAGCAAUGGCGCGUGAGUGAUGAAGGCCUUAGGGUUGUAAAGCAGUUUUAAACGGGAUGAUAAUGACAGUACCGGGAGAAUAAGCAACGGCUAACUACGUG
RNAcentral lists this ribosomal RNA (433 nucleotides) under uncultured bacterium. Its description in RNAcentral is "partial 16S ribosomal RNA". It matches the Rfam family "Bacterial small subunit ribosomal RNA", at positions 29 to 507 of the family's 1533-position model. The record is from RNAcentral.